UACGGGGGGGGCAAGCGUUGUUCGGAAUUACUGUGCGUAAAGGGCUCGUAGGCGGCCAACUAAGUCAGACGUGAAAUCCCCCGGCUUAACCAGGGAACUGCGUCUGAUACUGGAUGGCUUGAGAUUGGGAGAGGGAUGCGGAAUUCCAGGUGUAGCGGUGAAAUGCGUAGAUAUCUGGAGGAACACCGGUGGCGAAGGCGGCAUCCUGGACCAUUACUGACACUGAAAAGCGAAAGCCAGGGGAGCAAACGGG
Molecule: ribosomal RNA, 253 nt
Filed under: uncultured bacterium
Lineage: Bacteria
Description: partial 16S ribosomal RNA
Rfam family: Bacterial small subunit ribosomal RNA
Source: RNAcentral